This 31597-nucleotide long non-coding RNA is filed under the name Arabidopsis lyrata. RNAcentral's name for it is "long non-coding RNA (ALYR_LNC003264)". Lineage: Eukaryota; Viridiplantae; Streptophyta; Magnoliopsida; Brassicales; Brassicaceae. The record is from RNAcentral.
UUGAUAUAAUUGUGAAAGACAAUAUCAAGUUUAUUUUUUCCCGCUCUAUUAUAGUUUAGUUUGAUUUCAACUUUUAACUAGUACAUGGGGUUAUUGAUUACAUGUACGUAAUCAUAUUGUUGGGGGAAAUUUGCAACCACCAAUAAAAAAUUAUAGGACACAUGGACAGAAAGCCAUGUCAUCAUUGCUGAUUUGAAGGGUGACUCCUACACUCCCCCAUGAAGACUCUCAAAUGUCGUUCCUCGAAUGCUCUGUGGGUCAUACGGAAAAUUGCUAAUACCAACUCCGUAGAGCCACUGCCAUUUACAGCAACACUAAAGGAUUAGCCGUAGCAUGCCACUAUCAACUAUGCCAACUAAUAGCGUCAUCAGAAAAGUGGUUUGUUCCACCGUGCGCACGAUAGUUAAUGACGUAACGAAACUUGGGCAAGUUAUAACCACGAUUUGAUCCUACCUAGAAAAAAAGAACCCAAAACACAAUCUUGAAAGACCUCCACUUCACAAAAAAAAGAAGGGAGAUUGAGAGAUGUGAAAAAUCAAGAGAGAAACUUACUCACACUUUGACACUUAGGUUAAACCUAAAUUCUGACAAAGGAAAAUGAUGAGUAUUUUCGGAACGUGUCCCAUGACAAGGCUACCUCACGAACAUGUGUCAUGGUCUUACACCAUCAGGGUUGGCCUUGGGCUAAAGCGGGUAAACCCCUUACUUUAGGUGCUGAAAAGUAUAUAGUAGUAAAGAGCAUUAAGUUUCAAAAACAUUGUCUUUCUGUUGCAUGGUUUAUAUCUCAGUUAAAAAUAUUUUGUGACUUUGUUAAACAAAUGGACCUAAAGACGUUUUAGGCAGCCAAAUCUGUUGGGCCGGCCUUGCUCACAGAGAGCAAGACCUCCACCCAUAUGCAUUGUGUAACGCCCUGAACGCCACCUAUCUUAGUAGGUCCUACGUCUUCUCUCGGUCUGUGAGUCCACCUCUUAUCCGAUGGCCGAUACACUACGUCUGGGAGGCUUUGAGAAUUUGUUUACCGAUCCUACAAAUCACAACAUGAUAUUUUCCCGUAUUUUGUCCUAACUCACACGGUUCCGACAAUCGAAAAGAUUCCUCUAUUAGCUAUAUAUGUACAUCAUAUAUUUAAUCUUCAUUGUGAUUAGUUUGCUAGAUUAAACAUAUGAAAUAGUUUAGAGUGGUUAAAAUCUAAGCAACCAAUUGUAAUCCAUCGGCCAAAGUCCAGAGGGAAAGAAGAGUAUGUGAAACCUCGUAGCGAAACAGAGUAACCAAAAGGUACACACGAAGAAUGUGACAUGAAGAGGUUUUAUCCUCUCUCGUUUUUUUUUCCUUUUUUCUUAGUUAGCUACUUUUGUCUGUCUUAACUUUACUAAAGAACGUUCCUUAACAAUGUGUAAGUUCAUGUAAGAAUCUCCUAUCUUGGGAAGCGCGAGGUAAUAUGUAUUUCUGUCUUUAUCUUUAACUUUUAAAUAACAAAGAACUGGUAAUGAAACGGGAUAUAAUCAAAGUAAGGAAUGAAAAAUUAUAAGAAAAAAAAAUCAUCAACUUGCAUAAAAUAAGUGUCAUACUAAGGAAGAAAAAAAACCAAGGAAUUGGUUACAAAGACAUUUGACUCUCAACGUGAUUCGGGAAAGCAUGGAGCAUGCGAUAAAAUAAAUUAUUGAGCACAGAUUUCUCCUCUAUGACUCCUUUAAGUUCGAAUCUUCUAAAACUGUUUCUCACCGGAUCAUAAAAUAAAAUAUAUGACGACUUACGAACCACAUCUGGUACAUAAAUAAACUCACCAGCAUGAGUGAUACCUUUUACUUUCAAAUAUGUAUUCGAAAUCUCAUCUUUGCGAAAAUAGGUGCACGAAAGCCUUUACUCGACCACUUGUGUUUCUCUGCAUCUUCCAAAAUGCACAAUGUCAUUUUACCAUCCGUCUCAGUAGUUUUUCUAACACAAGCUAUGAGGGGAUCCCUAUGAAAAUCAGAUGGUAACUGAAUCAUACCAAACUUUUCAGAUCUGACAUCAAAGCUCAUUACAACCCAAACAUCUGUACCAUAAACAUAGGCUAUAUAAUAUACAACCCCCUUGAUGCACCGACCCGAAGUAUGGUAGUCAGAACAAUGCGUAGGUUUAGUUUUGACAGUUCUCCAUGAUUCUUGAGCUGGUCCCAAUGUUAAAACCCGACACACAUCAGAACUUCUUCUAAAAGGCAAGCACAUUACUUUGUGUUUACCUUCGAUGGGAUCAUAUCCUAAGAAAACUGUUAGCCGCUCCCAGCUCUUUCUAGGUUUAGGUAAAGUUAAGCACUGCCUCUUGCUAGGGUUACAAACUAUUGGCGUUGCUGAUUCUUGAAAGCAGAUCAAGCCAUGGACAGAUUCCGUAAGGGGGAAGUUAUUAUGUAAUAGGAAUUUCAAAUGAUAACGAUCAAUAGGCUGAGAAGAAGAGUAAGAUUUGUUCGAAUCCUGAAGUGAAUGAUGAUGUUGCGGAAUCGAGGAAACAAACAAAUUUUCAUAUUCAGUGAAGCAAAGCAAAAGACUCGGCCUUGGGUACCGAGUUUCGAACAAUUUGAUGAAAUAUAGAUCUGUUGUGAUUAGGGAUGUUAAUUCUGGGCUUUAGCCCACUGGGUACCCAAAACCCACGUCAAAUAGUACUAAGUCCAUGGAUCUACUUUUUAUCUUAAAAAACGCGGGUUUAAAACGGGUCGGGUAUCCGAAUCAAGAGAAUCUUAUACGGGUUUACCUUAUCGGGUUAUGGAUACCCGUGGGUUUUUGUUUUUUAAUUCAUUCUAACAAAAACGACGUAGUUUCUUCUUAGAGACACGAUCUUUCUCAGAAACCCUAAACGCCCAAAUUCGAUUCUUCUCAGAGAGACACGAUUUUUCCUCUUCACCUUCAGAUUCUUCCUCUUCACCAUAAGAUUCUUCCUCUUCACCAUCAGAUUCUUCUUCUUCACCUUCAGAUUCGAUUGAAACUGUAUGUUCUUCUUCUUCUUCAAUUUUUCUCUCAAAUUCAAUUUUGUGUAGCUUUGAUAUAGCUUUCUAGAAGGUCAACAACACACGUGUGAAGUCGGAGGCACGUGCGGAGUGGUGAGCUGGAGGCUAAAAGAUUCUCUGUGACGGAAGUCGUUGUUAACGUCGUUACUUUUAUGCAUUAUAAGAGCAAAUGUUAGCUCACAGUUUUAUUAUGCAAAAAAACUUGUUCUCUGUAACUUUCUAGAAGUUUCUGGGUUGUUCUUCAUCGUUUUGCUGGAUUUCCUUCACGGAGUCUUGCAGGUGAGAAGUGGUGUCGCGUUUAUCAUGAACGUUGUAAUCCAUUUAUCGUAAUAAUAAUCGGAAGUUCUUUUACCAUCUCUUACUCUGUUUUUACGUUAACACUGGUAUCAGAGCUACUCAUCCUCGGAAACAAUGGUGGCUAAGUUAAGAUCGCGUUUAUUACAAACCAAUCCGGCGGAUGCAGAAGCUUCGGAGUUAGAUCAGAGCACGGAGGAGACGAUCAACUCACGAUUGGACUUGAUUCUUAACCGGACUCAAGCUCUGGAGGUAUCUGUAGCUGAACAAAACAAAAAAAUCGAUAAAAACAUUGCCGAUAUGUUUGAAAUUGUUAAAUCGAUGAGGUCAAAUCAAGCUUCAUCUAGUGGAAAAAUUGGUGCGGAUAAGAACUAUACGGCAGUAUCGGCGACGCCGGGUUCUUUUGAUGAUAGUUCCAGUCAACCUCGUGGUUAUAAACCUGGACCACAGGCUUCUUACGCUGGAGUCACACGUAUCGGAAAAGUGGAUUUUCCCAGAUUUGAUGGGAAUCGGGCUCGUGAUUGGUUGUUUCAGGUGGAGGAGUUUUUCGAGGUUGAUCAUACACCAAAGGAUAUGAAGGUGAAGUUGGCCGCCAUUCAUUUUAAUGGAAAGGCAGCGACAUGGCACCGAUCUUUGCUUCAUACUCCAGGAACCAAAAGAGUUCUGCGGGAUUGGGAAGCUUAUAAACUGGAGUUGAUGGAUAGAUUUGAGGAUGUUUUGGAUGAUCCGAUUUCUGAGUUAAAACAACUUCAAGAGACUAAUGGUAUUGUUUAGUAUCAUGACAAAUUUGAGUUGAUAAAAAAUCGAUUAGAUCUUUCUGAAGAUUAUCUUGUUGGUGCAUAUCUUGCGGGUUUGAGGGUUGAUACACAAAUGCACAUUCGAAUGUUUGAACCUGAUAUAAGAUUGGAACCAAUCCAACUUAUGAUCACUCAAUGAUCAAGAGAUUCCAAGCUUAACUUGCGGAAGGUGGAAUCCACGAGCUGGCUAUAACGCACUCUCUCGUGAAUCAAGGGAUGGAACGAUGGAUAGAUGCGAUUGACUCACUCAAUCAAUGAACAAACCAGAAGUUUGAAUCACUCAAACAACUUGAUUUGCAGACUCAAAAGAACUUAAUUGACUCACUCAAAUAAGAACUAAUGAAAGGAAACACAAAGAAUUCGCAACUUUGUGGAAGAAAAGAAAACAAUGUUUCUUAUGAACUUUAAAAUCUCGAUUAAGGGUGCCUUUACAAUGAGGAAUGAGCUGAGCUUUUAUAGGCUCGUAAUACAAUGUUUUUAAUGUCUAAAACAAGUAGCAAAUCGCAAAAUUAAAUGAGAAACUAGCCGUUGGAAAUGAAAUGGCAAAAUCCGUCGAAAUAAGGAAAGUAGCCGUUAGCUUGUAUCUUGAAAGCUUGGGGAGAAAGUGGUGCGUCCUGGGAAGUCUCUUGUUCACUAGGAGGGUCUCUAAAUCGCACUCAAACAGAUGGGGAAAGAUUUCUUGCUGGUUGAUCUCCUUUGGCUUCAAACAAGGCAAAUAAGGCAAGAUCGGUUCCGGAUAUGGAAAGUAAAGGUGUGUGAGGAUCCGCCUGAUCCUAUGUGUCUUGGUGCACCUUAGAGUGUUUUAGGGAGCUUCUAGAAGUAUCUUAAAGUCUCCUGGGCGCCAAUGGUACGUUUGGAGUCUCCUAAACCCGAAAGGUUCCAAAUAAGGCAAGUGUAGGCUCCUUCGGUUUAGAAAAUUAAUAUCUCUCAAACCAAAAUUGGUAUUGACUUGAUUCCAACUCUCUGUGGUUUUCUGAUGAGUUAAGAUUGUAUGAAAAUUCACUUCGUAACUUAACUCCUUCUGGUCGGGUCGGAAUCCUCCAAUGACUCUGUGUAUGUCCAAAUCGGGCAAGCUGGGAAUCACCCGACUUGUAAAUUGAAUAACUCGUUCGUGUGAACUUCUUUUGGGCUGAUUCUUCUUCGAGGUGCUCGGUAAUUGAGCUGAGAAUGUAUUCCAAGUGAUCUCUGGGCAGGAGGAAUUGAUCUUUGCCUUCGUCUGGACUGAACAAGGCUCAGGGGUCUUCUCGGAUAGGCUGAAUCUGCUUUGGCCCGAAGUUGUAGAUAAAACUUUGUUUAAAAUCCCACUUGGCUGCUCCUGGGUUGUUUUUUCUCGCCCGUAAUCUUCUCCAUGGUUGGUUCUUGGGUUGAUGACCGCAUCAGAACCUCUAACGAUUAAACAAUGUUUCUUGCUGGGGAAGUUGUAUGAGAAAGCACACCCACCACAUAAGACAACAGCAACACAAUGGUCAAACACUAGAAAUACUGGUUCCCAUAAUGUUUAGCGUCCUAUAACAAAUGUUAAGAAGGAGUCUUCUCCUCCUUCUGCUGAGCAGGUGAGUAACAGUAAUGAUUUCAGAAAACCUGCAAGGAAGUUCUUGUCACAAGAAGAGAUGAGCGCAAGAAGGGCUAAAGGAUUAUGUUACCUUUGUGAUGAAAAGUACACUCCGGAUCACUAUUUAAAACACAAGAAAACUCAAAUCUAUAUGAUCGAAGUGGAGGAAGAAGGGGAAGAUGACACUGGGGAGACCAAAGAUGGGGAGUUGCAGGUUGUGGCAUAUGAGGAACAAUGCAAGCCCUAGGUUUCUGUUAGUGCUGUCAAUGGAGUGGCUGACUAUUCAACAAUGAAAGUCAGAGGAUUACAUGCUAAAAAGCCGGUGUUUGUUCUGUUGGAUUCAGGGUCCACUCACAAUUUCAUGGAUCCUAGAACAGCAGCAACUUUAGGCAUUGAACAUAGACCUGCAGGUGCUACUAAAGUGUCUGUAGCUGAUGGAAGUAAACUAGGAGUAUUAGGGCUGGUGGAUAAAUUUAAAUGGGAGUUUCAUGGUGUUCCUUUUCAGGCUGACUUCAUGAUCAUAUCACUCGGGGGAUGUGAUGUGGUUUUGGGGGUGCAGUGGCUGGAAAUACUAGGUGACAUCACAUGGAACUUAAAGAAGUUUGAAUUCAGUUUUAUGUGGGGACAUAAAAGGGUUCUACUUCAUGGUAUCAAGCAAGGCUCUGUUCGUGAAGUUAAAACUCUCAAGUUCUAUAAGGCUCAGGAAGAUCAAGUUCAAAUAUCCAUGAUCUGUGCACACACCGUGAUGGAUGUUAACAAUGGGUCUGUAGGUGCAUUGGAGGUUACUUCCGGGUUUAAAGACAUUGUGCCAGAAAUAACAAGACUUAAAGACUCCUUUGGUGCCAUAUUUGCAGAACCUACUGCUCUACCACCUUUUCGAGCAAACCACAAUCACAAGAUACCACUAAAAGAAGGUUCUGAUCCUAUCAAUCAAAGACCUUACAGGUAUGCAGUUUACCAAAAAGACGAGAUCGAUAGGAUUGUUGAAGACAUGUUAGAGAAAGGGACUAUUCAGGCAAGUUCUAGUCCUUAUGCCUCUCCAGUUUUAUUGGUUAAGAAAAAGGAUGGAACAUGGAGAUUGUGCGUUGAUUACAUGGGAUUGAAUAAUUUAACCAUCAAGGAUAGAUUUCCUAUCCCUCUGAUAGAAGAUUUAAUGGAUGAGUUGGGAGGGUCUACAGUGUUUUCUAAAAUUGAUCUCAGAGCAGGAUAUCAUCAAGUGCGUAUGGAGCCAGAGGAUAUUCAUAAAACGGCUUUCAAGACUCAUAGUGGUCAUUAUGAGUACAUUUUCAUGCCCUUUGGUUUGAUAAACGCAACAGCAACAUUUCAAGGGUUAAUGAAUGCGGUUUUCAAAGAGUUUCUACGCAAGUUUGUGCUAAUAUUCUUCGAUGACAUAUUGAUUUACAGCCCUACAAUGGAAGAACACAUUAAACAUUUGGCUCAUGUGUUUCAGAAAAUGAGAGAGUAUAGUUUAUAUGCUAAGGAAAGCAAAUGUGCAUUUGCCAUAUCUAGAGUGGAGUAUUUGGGUCAUUAUAUUGAAGCAGGAGGAGUAUCUACAGACCCUACUAAGGUUACUGCAGUAGCAGAAUGGCCUAUUCCUACUACAUUAAAACAAUAACUCAGAGGUUUCUUGGGUUUAGCAGGUUACUACAGGAGGUUUGUUAAAAACUUUGGCACCAUAGCAAGACCUUUAACACUUUUAACAAAGAAGGAGGCAUUUAUGUGGUCUCAUGAAGCUCUGGAGUCUUUCAACUUACUAAAGAAAGCUUUGUGUGAAGCACCUGUUUUGGCCUUACCUCUAUUUGAUAAACCAUUUCUUGUGGAGACUGAUGCUUGUACUCAGGGUAUUGGGGCAGUACUGAUGCAAGAAGGCCAUCCUAUUGCCUAUAUCAGCCGUCACUUGAAAGGGAAGCAAUUGAAUCUUUCCAUUUAUGAGAAAGAACUGCUUGCGGUGGUCUUUGCAGUGCAGAAAUGGCGUCAUUACUUAUUGCCACAUCACUUUAUCAUUAAAACAGACCAGCGCAGCCUCAAAUAUAUGUUGGAGCAGCGAUUGAAUACUCCUAUUCAACAGCAAUGGUUACCUAAGCUGCUUGAAUUCGAUUACGAAAUACAAUAUCGCCAAGGCAAAGAAAAUAUCGCAGCUGAUGCUUUGUCCCGUGUAGAUGGGAGCGAGGUGUUGCAUAUGGCUAUGUUUGUCUUAGAGUGUGAUCUCUUAAAAGACAUUCAAGCUCAUUAUGCUACAGACUGUGAGUUGCAAAAGGUGAUUGAGGAUUUAGAGAAAGAUCCUAAAGCUAAGAAACAUUAUUCUUGGGUACAAUCUAUUUUAAGGAGGAAGAGUAAGAUUGUAGUGCCUCAAGAUAUACAACUGAGAAACAAAAUUUUACAAUGGAUGCAUUGUUCUGGUACUGGAGGUCAUUCGGGUAGAGAUGCCACUUUUCACAGAGUUAAGAGCCUCUUUUAUUGGAAAGGUAUGGCUGUGGAUAUUCAACACUACAUCAGAAGCUGCAGUGUCUGUCAACAAUGUAAGUAUGACACUUCAGCUUAUCCUGGUCUAUUACAACCUCUCCCUAUUCCUGAAGCUAUAUGGACUGAUCUCUCCAUGGAUUUCAUUGACGGUCUUCCUCUUUCUUCGGGUAAAUCGGUUAUUCUGGUGGUGGUUGACAGGCUGACUAAAGUAGCCCAUUUCAUUGGUCUUUCACAUCCGUAUACGGCUGUCUCUGUGGCUCAGGCAUUCCUUGACAAUGUUUUUAAACUCCAUGGGUGUCCAAGAUCAAUAGUGAGUGACAGGGAUACGGUUUUCUUGAGCAAUUUUUGGACUGAGCUAUUUACUCUCCAAGGAGUUGAUUUGAAAAUGUCUACAGCUUAUCACCCUCAAAGCGAUGGGCAAACUGAAGUAGUGAACCGUUGCUUGGAAACUUAUUUAAGGUGCAUGUGCAGUGAUAGACCUCAUCUCUGGAGUAAUUGGUUGGCUCUUGCGGAAUUCUGGUACAAUACUAAUUUUCACACCUCUACUCACAUGACUCCUUUUGAAGCAGUUUAUGGUCAGGCUCCUCCCAUUCACCUUCCAUACUUACCAGGCGAAUCUAAAGUAGCAGUGGUUGCCCGGAGUUUGGAAGAGCGUGAGCAGAUGAUCCUUAUUCUCAAGUUCCAUUUGUUGAGGGCGCAACAUCGUAUGAAGCAGGCUGCAGAUCUACAUCGGACAGAAAGGAGUUUUGAUAUUGGUGAUUCAGUUUUUCUCAAGCUCCAACCCUACAGACAAGGUUCUGUAGUCAUGCGUCCCAAUCAGAAACUUGCUCCAAAGUAUUAUGGGCCAUAUAAAGUGAUAGAUCGGUGUGGUAAGGUCGCUUACAAGCUACUGCUUCCAACAGGUUCUCUUAUUCACCCUGUUUUUCACGUCUCUCAACUUAAAGCAGUAGUUGGUAAGUGCACACAUCAUCUCAGCUACCAUCCAUUGUCUCCGAUGUGUUACUCAAAGAACCAGUAGCAAUCUUGGAUCGCAAAAUGGUUAAGAGACAGGGGUGGGCAGCUACAAUGGUUUUGGUUCAUUGGACUAAUGAAACAGAGGAGGAAGCAACUUGGGAGUUCCUCUUUGAUUUGCAGAAGAAGUUUCCAACCUUUGAACCUUGUGGUCAAGGUUCUUCGAAGAGGGGAGCUUUGAUAUAGCUUUCUAGAAGGUCAACAACACACGUGUGAAGUCGGAGGCACGUGCGGAGUGGUGAGCUGGAGGCUAAAAGAUUCUCUGUGACGGAAGUCGUUGUUAACGUCGUUACUUUUAGGCAUUAUAAGAGCAAAUGUUAGCUCACAGUUUUAUUAUGCAAAAAACUUGUUCUCUGUAACUUUCUAGAAGUUUCUGGGUUGUUCCUCAUCGUUUUGCCGGAUUUCCUUCACGGAGUCUUGCAGGUGAGAAGUGGUGCCGCGUUUAUCAUGAACGUUGUAAUCCAUUUAUCGUAAUAAUAAUCGGAAGUUCUUUUACCAUCUCUUUCUCUGUUUUUACGUUAACAAGCUUAAGUUACGAUUUUUUUGUAUCUUUCUUCAGUUUGGAGUUGAUGGGCUUUGGAUUUAGGGAUCUGCUCGAAGAGGGUUUGUGAAGUUAAGGAGAUUUUUCGGGUAAAUUGACUUUUUUGAUGUUUUGUAAAGCUUCGUCUUCUUAAGUCAUAUGAUUUGUGUUUGCUAAUCUUGUAACUCCGUGACUUGUGGUGUGAUUACUACUUCCAUGGGUUUGGUUUAUGUUUGAGAUUUGGUUCUUGUAAUUCCGUGACUUGUGGUGUUCCAUGGUGUGUUUAUAUUUUGCAAUUUAUCAAUAAUGACUGACUUAUAAAAACUUGAACUGGAAAUUUGAAUUGUUUUUCUGCCGUGAAUUGUUUGAUUUCCUCGUUUCUUCGCUGUUAUUUGUUCUCAUUUCAAAUUCAAUUUUGGAAAUUUAGUAGCUUUAUAAAAUGGGUAGUAGAGUAAGCCUCUUGAAUUGAAGUUUAUACAGAAUAAUGUUUUUGCCUGUAAGGUGUUUGACGAAAUUCCUCUGAGAACAUUAUCUAGUAGACAAGCUUUUAAGGAGCCUUUGAUGCAUUUAUUUUGUGUGUAUUUUGUAGAAGCAAACGUAGUAGACAGAACUGCAAUUUAUCAAUAAUUAUUUCAUGGUAUCAAUCAUUACAAGUAGUUACGUUUAUGUUUGAAAUUUCUAGCAAUGUUUACGUGUUACCAAACUCGCUUUGUGGCUGAGUUAAAGAUAGUAACCAAACUGGAUUCCUUUAUUUUAGGAUGGAUUCGCAAUCAAGAGAAACUAUGGCAGCUUUGGAUGCUGAGAAUGAGUAUAUGGCAAUGAAUGAAGAGGAUGAAACUCAUGGAGAAGCAACACAAAGUGAAGCAAUUGAAUUCAGCUACAAUUUCAAAUUCAAGUACCUAGAAUCAAUUCUUAAAAAUUAUUGAAUGUUUAUCUAAUUAAUUGAUAAUGAUUACUAAAUUCAAUUCAGCUACAAUUUCAAAUGUUAUAUAAUAAAGUUAAUAGGAAGUUUGUAUUAUAAUUAAUAAAUUAAAAAGAAAAAAUACAAAUACAUAUAAAUUACAAAUCAAUCAAUACAAUAAAACUACUAAGAGUUUCUCCAGCAAUGACACAUCAUCUUUUUAAGCUAUUGUGGGACUGACACAUCAUUAAAAAUGGUAUCCAAUUAAAACAUAAAAAUUAAUACAAUUCAGCUUUCAGCAUGCCACAUCAGCUUUACAACUUGCCACAUCAGCUAUUUAUAAAAAAAAAUACAUCAUUUUUAAAAAACACCAAUCAAAUUAAAAUAUAUAAUACACAUAUUUAUUUUUUAUUUUUUAAUAAUGAUACAUGGAUUUCUAAUUUGUUAAAAUAUAAAAAAAUCAAAUUAUAAAUAAAAUGAAUACACAUCAACUUAUGUUGACACAUCAACAAAAGAAUGCUUAUUAUUUAAUGGAAUUGAUCAAAUAUCUAAAUAUAAACUUUAUAUCUAUAGUUAUUUUUACAUAACAUAUUUAUAUUAAAGACAUUUAUAAUAUAAAGUUUUUACUAUAUAACUCAACAAUCAACAUAUUCUGAUUCAGUUUACACAUAAUUUGUUUUGAUAUAAUCACCAAAAUUUUGAUUUUGUGCUACUAGAAUUUAGUUUAAUAACUAUAUCCUUAAUUAAACCACUAAUCACAAGAUGUAUACAAUCACUUUUAUUACUUUUUGUUUUAGUAGAACAUGAUAUUUUAUUUAAAAAGUACAAUCAAUCAAAUUAAAAUAAUUAAUACACAUCAGCUUUUAUUAACAUGGACAAAAUUUAUAAAAUAUCUUACUUGGACGAACAGUUCAUAUUCCUAAUUGUAAGGAUUGUUAAAUCACUAGAUAAUACAAAUAUAUAAAUUUAAAUAAGCUUGUCUAUUCGGGUUUUUGGUUUGAUUUGGUUCAAAAUCAUUUAUAGAUAUUUCAUUUUUGUAAAUUAUAGUCACACACUAUAAACAAAAUAAUAAUAUUAAUUGAGUAUAUCUAAUAAAAAAGAAUUAAAAAAAUAACAGUGACAAAUAUUUGUACUUUUUUUAUCUACGUUUAUACGGUGUAAAUGCGUUAUAAAUAAUAGUAAAAUAGUGUUUCCUUGAUUGAGGGUUCUUCUCUUGGUAACGAAAAAGAGUAAAAAAUCUACAAAAUCCAAUAACAUAAUUAGAAGAAUACUUUUAUAUUAAAACUAUGGUAUAAACUAAAUUAUAAGUUAUUUUAACAAAUCAUUGUGAUUUAAAAGUUAAAAGAAUAAUUUUAUGUCUAUGUUAAAUAUUUUAAGUGUGAUUCAAAUUAUGGUUGUGUACCAUGUAUAAUGUUAAUGAAAAGAAAGUAAGGUUCUUGAAAUAUAAUAGUCGCUGAAAAUUAUAUACAUAUAAAAAGAAAUCAGAUCUUGUAAAACGUUAUAAACAUUAUAAAAAAAAACAAAUACAAAAAUUGACUAUACGGUAUAUUUAUUUUAUAAAAGUAAUAUAUAACAUGUAUUUAUUAAUGUAUGCAUAUAUAAUAAAAUAAUAAAAUAAAAACUACUAAAAUUUGAGUAAAGAUACAACACUCAAUCCUAGAAUCAUUUCAAACUUCUACCAAUCAUACUUGUAAUUAUAUUAAAACAAAGCUAAUUUACAAAAAAUAUCCCGCGGCAGAGCGCGGGUUCUUUAUCUACUAUUUAUAAAUCCAAAUAAAGAAGAAAAAAAGGAUAAUAUAAAUUCGGGUACCCACAGGUUACCCACACUCGUUCGGUUUUUAUUCGGGUUUACCCAUAAGAACCCGAAACCCAUCGGAUUUUUUGAGUUCGGGCUUUUCGUGGACGGGCUCAACUCGGGUUCGGGCUGGGCCGGGUUUUUUUACCCACGACUACAUUCCUAGUUGUGAUUGAUAACCAAAGCUUCGACACGCAACGAAACCUCGCAACAGAUUUCUCAGGUAGCCUUAAGAGUAUCUCUGAGAUUAGAUCUAGAGGAAAGGACGAAGUUGGUUUUGGAGAUUGUGUUCUUUUUCUUUUGGAGAAUUUUCUCUUCUCUUUUUGAGCCUCCAUUUUAGCUAACCCUAAUUUGUUCAGGUUUCGUUGAUUUCAACAUGGUUUCUAUUUUAAUAUUUAAAUAAUACGAAGAGAGUUUCAAUUUUAAUGGAAAGAAGAUAUGGUGGAGAUUUCAUGAGAUUUUUUUUGUCAACAGCUAUAUUAGAUUGGGUGAUAAGUUGCGGCUGGGACGAACAGUUCGAGUCAGUUUAUCCGCUUUCACAUUCGCAUUUCGAGAAACUAAAGAUAAAGAGAAAACAUCAAACUCUUCCUUGUCACUCUGAAUCGCCUCUAGGUAUGUUGCAAACGCUGGUCACUUGUGCGGGGAAGACACCAUCUUCACCAGGUCAGAGAAGUCUGUCAAGAAAGCUACUUCUCUCUUGUCUUGGCCGAUCAUACAUCUCAUCGCCCAAAUUAAUGCUUCGACCUUUGUGUAGUGAGGUAAGCUUCUUCGAAGAUUAGCAGCUCCCAUAUCUUGCGUUCCAUCAGUCGGGCUACUACCUAGUGACACUUUGAGGGUUAAAAUUGUCAGCCGGGUUUGUAUAUAUAUAUAUAUACCUUUACUAGUUUCAGUUUCAAAAAAUAAUAACCGGUUUUAAUUUUUUUGCAUCUUUCACUUUUAAAUCAGUAAAAAAAUAUUUUUAAGAAUUGUCUUUGUUGGCAAAGAGUUUCCUCUGCAUGAAACGGGUUCGUAAAGUUAGAAGAAGAGCUUGAUCGAGAACUUGUUUUUAUUAUUGAUCCCAUACACAAUAAACGAUAGAAGGGUUUAGAACCCUCUAAAACCGAAGUAGUAGUGGCGAACGUAGGAAAAGACUAGGUGUGGCUUGUGCUCCACUCUAUUUUUUCAAUUUUCUUACAUAACUAGUGUAAAAUAUAUUUAAAUGCCCUCUAAAUUAAUUAUUAGUUAUAAUUAGGCCUUGAUAUAAUAACCGAACCCGACUUGACAAACUCGACCAAAACCCGAAACCGAUGUUUUAAAAUACCCGAAUAGGUUCUAAAUUUUACAACCCGAAAACUUGAACACGAACUCCACCCAAACCAGAACCCGAACAAGUAUUCGAGCAUACCCGAAAUAUAAGUACAUAUAUGUUUGAAUUUGAAUAACCCGAUCUAAGAAUUUGAAUAACCAUAUUAUUAUUAAUAAUUCUUGCUAUAUAUGUUUUAUUUUAAUUGGACGAAAAAUUGAUCAAAGGGGGAUUUUAGUGAGGGAGAGACACGAAAUCAAAAGUUACCAAAAUUUUAGUGGAAACCCCCAAAAGUGGAAUGUCACGAAAAUGGAAUCAUUGUUUUCUUUAUUAUUAUUUUUGGUACGAUUUUCUUAGUUUAUCAUCCUAAAUAAUUAACCACAAAUUCUUUUAACGCAACGCACCAAUGGUCGUCUACUUUUGUAGCUUAUCUUAUAAUAUCUACCUAUAUCUUUUAUACUUUCUAAUAAAAUCUCACAUGUUUGCAUAGUAUAAGUUAUGCUAGGAGAAAGAGAGAGUAAAGACGUAUACAACUUAAAUCAUAAAACACUAAAUUAAAUCAAUGGCAUAUAUAAAGUUAUAGAACAUGCAUUGUAUGAUAUCACGGAAUGCAUGUUCUAUGGAAAACAUCUAAAUUUUAUGGUGAAUGAAGAAUCGGUGAAUAUAACUAGUGUAAGCCAUAUAUAGGAUCAUAGAUAGAUCAUCUACGAGUUGAAUUAUCAAUAUGUGAAUUAUAUUUCCUUUAUAUAUAUAUAUAUAUAUAUAUAUAUAUAUAUAUAUAUUAUAUAUUUCCGUUCCUUACUUACUUUCUUAGAGUUUCGAAAUUCUAUUUGUUAAAUUCAAACAAGAAUGCGCUCUUAAAAAUGCAUCAUAAAGUAGUACUGACUCUUAUCUUUUACAAACUUGACGAUGAAGAAAAAAAUAUUACAUUACAUAUUAUUUUUGAUUAUGUAUGAUUAAUUUGCAUUUUUUGGAGGUGAAUAAUAAUAUAAAUGUUGUAAACCACAUUACGGAUGGACUCCAUAACCGUGGCCCAUGUCCAUGUUCUACAAGGCCCAUGUCCAUGUUCUAGAAGGCCCAUGUCUAUCUUCUAGAAGAUUCGCCCAAUGACGGUUUAUGUUAGUCUUAGAGGGUUUUGGGUUUUAGGGUUUCCUAGUCCAAUUGGGAUUUGUCUCCCAUAUUGUGUAUAUAUAUAAGUUGUAACCUCAUUCUUUAAUCAAAGAGAAUACACGAGAUUCAUAACACGUUAUCAGCACGAUAGCCUCUAAAUCCCUUAGCUAAAGAUCUGACACAUAAACCCUAAUCUCACGAUCUCUCUAUCUCCAUCAAACCCCUAAAACGCAAAGAAAUCUGCCUCGGAACUUCAAAGAGGUCGUUCUCUCAAAUCGUAAGAACCCAGAAAACGAGCAAGAUAUCAAAUCGAAGCCCUCGCCGAGACGAAUCCAUCAGUGCAAACGGCUUGUCGAUCUGACCACCGACGCGCCCUCACGCACAGAUACAGUGUGCGCCGAUUUGUUUUGAAAACCCUAGCUAGCUCGUCCGUCCUUUUGCUUUCUCCUUUGCUCGGCGAUUCCUUCCAAGGACCAUACGCUCGUGACAAGUUGAUAACCGAGGUCUUUAGCUCCCGGUUCUAGUCCGUACAACCCCAUAAGGUUAAAGUUAACAUCAAAACCCUAAAGCUAAAGAACCAACAAUCGAACUUGAAAGUUAAGCAAAGAGAAACUCUAAAAACGAACCUUUCUUGAUAAGCGAUUGUUAUUUCCUUGGAUGAUCCGAUUGCUUGACUCGUUUAAGUUGCUAGAAAAGUUAUUAUUGCUUAAUCUCAAACUCGCAAACUCAAAAACACUUAGCCAUGGCCGAAACUUUUAAAACCCUAAAUCGAAUUGGAAACCUAAAACCCUAAAAUAUAAUCGAUUGAUUGAGGUUGUUUAGGUUGUUAGAUUGAUUGUUUCUUUUAUUGAUUACAUGCAUAAGUUGUUAGAAACCCUAAAACUAAAAUCGCAUGAACCCUAGAAACCUUAGAAAAGAUAAUCCUAUUGUAAAUCUUAAAACCCUAAAAUCCUAAUUAAAAUAGGAAAAUCUUAAAUCCUAUUGUAAAUAGGAAAAUCCUUAAUUCUAUUCAAAAUAGAAAAUUUCCAAAUCCUAAAUAAAAUAGGAAAUCUUAAAAAUCUAAAAUCAUAAGUGAAAUAGGAAAAUUAAUCCUAGAGUGAAGAGGAAAGUAAAUCCUAAAAGGAAAAGGAAAAGUUAAUCCUAAUUAAAAGAGGAAAUCUAAUCCUAAGCAAAAGAAAAAAUCUAAUCCUAAGCAAAAGAGGAAAGUCAAAUCCCUAAGUAAAUCGAUUCAUGGUUCGGUCUCAAAUACCGCAUGACACUAACGAUUACAUGAUUUUGACUCAAAAAUUUUCCUUGUAGAUGUUGAAUUACAACUUGUAUUUUACUGCCCUAAAUCUCUUAGGAGAUAAUUAUUUAAAAUGGGCAAUGGAUACUAAGAUUAUCCUAAAAGUCAAAAGGACUUGGUGAAUGUAUCUAAUAAGGCAAUAAUACCAAAAGAGAAAGAUAGAUACAAGGCAAUAUUAGCCACCAUCUUAUUGAGAGUCUCAUAAUCCAGGACUAUAAGUCCGUGGAUGAGUCUAUUGCUAGAUGAGCAAAAUAAUGACUUACUGAUAAAAACAGUGAAUUACGACCUCAUAGAUUAACCCCAUUACCUGAUGCCAAUAAGGCCGCAGAGGAUAAGAAAGAAUCCAAAGAAUCUAACCACGUCUAAAGUAAUAGACCACACGGCCGUAGCCGUAGUGGAUGGAAAUGACGUGGUUGUGGCCACUAUAACUCAUCCGGCCGUGGGAACCACUAUAACCGUGGAUGUAGACCCAAUUCCGGCCGUGGUCGAGGGCGAGGACGAUGUGGUAUUUCCAAACCACAACACUCGACCAAAUGAGUAUGCCAUAGAUGUGGAAUGGGGAACCAUUGGGAUAAGAUAUGUAGGACUUCCAAACAUCGUUGUGACCUCUAUCAAGAGAGUGUGAAAAGGAAGAAUCCUAAAGCCCAUUUGGUAUAUAAAAAUGGUGAACAUGAUCAAGAUGAUCUAAUAGAGUAUGAGACUUCUGAUUGCCUAAAAGAAUCAAGUUGAUAAAUCUGAGUUCGACAUCAAAACCUCUAUGUUUUCUUUGCAUUUUAUGUUUUCAUUGAUUGUUAUUUCCUUGAAUUUAUUUUAUAUUAUUUUAUGUUUAAAACAUGAUUCUUGUCCAUAUAAGAAAUGGCCGGGGACAAGAACAUAUUUGUGGUGGAUAGUGGAGCCACACAAAAGAUAAGAGAUAUUUUCCUAAAUCUCAUAAUGAAAAAAAUGCCAAUAUUAGCACUAUAGCGGGUAUAGCAAAUCUUAUUGAGGGCUACGGCCAAACCCAUAUUCUAUUACCAAAUGGCACGCAUCUUGAACUAAGCGAUGCCUUAUAUUCACCCAGCUCAAAGAGGAGCUUAUUGAGUUUCAAAGAAAUAAGAUUGAAUGGUUUCCAUAUUGAAACAAAGGGUGAAGGGAACAAAGAAUUCCUAAAUAUAAUUGAGAUCACCAAAGGACAUAAGAAAGCCUAGAGACUAUACCAGCAUUAUCCACUGGUCUCUACUAUGCUAAAAUCGAUAUGAUCGAAGCUAAUAUGGCAACGAACAAAGAGUUCAUCGAGAAAUUCACUUUAUGGCAUGACCGGCUUGGCCAUCCGGGUCAUAGUAUGAUGCGUAAACUAAUAACUAAUUCAAAGGGGCACACCCUAAAAGAGAAAAGAGUUAUCCCUAAGAAUCUCACGUGUGAAGCAUGUUCACAAGGAAAACUCAUUAUAAGGCCAUCACCGGCAAAGAUAAAUAAAGAGACAUUAAAUUUUCUGGAAAGGAUACAAGGGGAUAUAUGUGGACCAAUACACCCACCAUGUGGGACAUUUAGAUAUUUCAUGGUCCUCAUUGAUGCAAAGACAAGAUAGUCGCAUGGUUCGGUCUUAAAUACCGCAUGGACUAGUCUAAAAUUGAUUGCAUGAUUCGGUCUUAAAUACCGCAUGGCCCAGAUCAUAAGACUGAGAGCCCACUUUCCAGAUUUUCCGCUUAAGACUAUACGUCUAGAUAAUGCCGGUGAAUUCAUGUCCCAAGCGUUUAAUGACUAUUGUAUGUCCAUGGGGGUAAGUGUGGAACAUCCCGUGGCACAUGUACAUACUUAGAACGGAUUAGCGGAAUCCUUCAUUAAACGAAUUUAAUUGAUAGCUCGACCAUUAUUCAUGAGGUCGAAGCUUCCAGUAGCCGCUUGGGGACAUGCUGUUUUACAUGCAUCAGAGCUUAUACGCAUAAGGCCAUCUAGUGAACAUAAAUAUUCGCCAUCCCAAUUAUUAACGGGUCAUGAGCCAGACAUAUCCCAUCUAAAGACAUUCAGGUGUGCCGUAUAUGUACCGAUUGCUCCACCACAUAGAACAAAGAUGGGACCUAAAAGGAGGAUGAGAAUAUAUGUUGGAUUUGAUUCUCCCACCAUUAUUAAGUAUCUAAAGCCAACCAUGGGUGAUCUAUUUAAGGCUAGAUACGCAGAUUGUCAUUUUAAUGAAUCCGAAUUUCCUACUAUAGGUGGAGAGACGAACAAGUUGGUCAAAGAAAUAUCAUGGAAUCAAACAUCCUUAAAUUGGCAAGAUCCUCGGACUCUGAUGUGUGAUUCAGAGGUCCAUAAGAUAAUAAAUUUGCAAAAGCUAGCUAAUGAAUUGCCAGAUUCCUUUGAUGACCCAAAGAGAGUUAUAAAAGCGUACAUACCAGCUUGCAAUGCACCAGUACGUAUUGAUGUUCACAAGGAACACAAUCAAGUUGCUACAGAGUCUAGACAACGUAAGAAACAUGGUAGACCAAUACGUUCCAAUGAUAAAAACCCUCGGAAAUUAAAGAAAGGUGCAAUAGGAAUCCGAGGUUAUUAAGGAAACCAUCCCAGACAUGGAGAUAAGGCCGGCCGGCUCUAAGGUACAGGUACCAUAUAAUGUAGCUUGGGACGCCAAGCUGCAAAGUAUUAAAGGUCCUGACCAUAAUAAAUCUCAAAUCGAUUAUAUCAUGUCUGGAACAUAAUGGAACAUAUAAGAAAUGUCGACAUAAGAUGAUUUUGCAUGCAAGGUAGCACUUGAAUUUAUGAAUAUAAAUGAGGAUCAGGAGCCCACGUCCAUACUAGAGUGCACUCAAAGACUUGAUUGAUUAAAUGGUACAAGACCAUAAAACGUGGAGCUAAGAAUCAUUAAGAAAAUGAAUGAGUUUGGUCCGACCUUAAGGACACCAUUCGAUGUAAAAACCAGUAGGACACAAAUGGGUCUUUGUGAAGAAGAGAAAUGAGAAUAAUGAAAUCGUGAGAUAUAAGGCACGGCUUAUAGCACAAGGAUUCUCACAAAGACCGGGGAUAGAUUAUGAAGAAACAUACUCCCCUGUGGUGGAUGCUAAGUCUGGCUAUAUAAAGGAAAAGAUUUGAUUUGCGGCUAAUGGAUGUAAUGCAUGCAUAUUUAUAUAAGUCCACUGGAUAAUAUAUGAGAUUACCAGAGGGUAUUGAGCUCAAAGAUAAGAAAGAUUCUCGAGAAUAUCACUGCAUAAGGCUGGACAAAUCCUUUCAUGGACUUAGACCAAAUGGGCGUAUGGAAUGUUAUAAAUGAUCCCAUUAGUCCAUGUAUUUUCAUAAAGAGGUUUGCAAACAAAGGAUUUGUAAUCAUAGCAGUGUAUAUGAAUAAUUUAAACCUCUGGGUAAUCGACCAAACAGUUGAGUAUAUCUAAAAGAAAGACCUAGGAAAUAAUUAAGUUAUGUUUGAGAUUACAACCUGAGUACAUGAAUAAUGGAAUCCUUGUGCAUCAAAAUGCAUAUAUUGAAAAGUACUCAAGGAUAUUUAAUAAGGACCAGGCCCGCCCAUUGACCAGGCCCAAUGGGGGUGAGAAUCCUUGGAUUGGAUAGUGAUCCAUUUGGUCCAAAGAAGGACGAGGAAGAAGUUCUCGGUCCUGAAGUGCCAUACCUCAGUGUCAUAGGAGCGUUAAUGUACUUGGCUAGCCACACUAGACCAGACAUAUGUUUUGCCGUGAACCUCCUUUGUCUAAAUUUAGUUCAUGAUCAACCCAAAGGCACUGGAAAGGUUUGAAGGAAGGUUUGGUUAAAUUUUAAAGUUUAUUCUUCCUACUUUGUUUAUUUGGGUUUAUUCUAUACUGAUCUAACCAAAAAAGGUCUAGUUUGCCUUGGUUUAGUUUGUUUUGCUGAUGCAGGUAAGAUCAGAUUAUGGCAUGGUUAAUAAAUAGGAACUACGUGUGGCUUGAUCCCUUCCAAGGGUACGUAGGCAGCCUUCUUCAAGGCGCAGCUACUACAACAUCAAAAACCAUCAUAUGUGAAGACAACGUAGCCAUGUAUCGCUCAGCUCAAGGAUGGCUACAUCAAGGGAGAUCGGACAAAGCACAUUCUACCUAAGUUCUUCUUCACGCAUGACCUACAAAAGGAUGGUGAAGUUCAAGUGGUGCAAGUUCGUUCAAGCAACAACUCAGCCGAUCUCUUCACUAAAGCACUACCGACAACAACAUUAAGGAAGCUCACGCAUCAAAUUGGAAUGCGGAGACUUAAGGACUUGCAGGGAUGACCAAAACAGGGAGAGUAAUGCGUGUUGUACUCUUUUUCCUUCACAGUGGUUUUGUCCCAAUGGGUUUUCCUGGUAAGGUUUUAAUGAGGCAGCAUCCCCAAGGGCAUUACAAAGAUCCUUUGGCAUCUACACGGUUUUGUCAUCCAAGGGGGAGUGUUUUAAACCACAUUACGGAUGGACUCCAUAACUGUGGCCCAUGUCCAUGUUCUACAAGGCCCAUGUCCAUGUUCUAGAAGGUCCAUGUCUAUCUUCUAGAAGAUUCGCCCAAUGACAGUUUAUGUUAGUCUUAGUGGGCUUUGGGCUUUAGGGUUUCCUAGUCCAAUUGGGAUUUGUCUCCCAUAUUGUGUAUAUAUAUAAGUUGUAACCUCAUUCAUUAAUCAAAGAGAAUACACGAGAUUCAUAACAAUAAAUUUAUAAAAAUUGGUGAGUUGGAGGGGUUUUUUGCACAAAAUCCUAUGAUAUAUUAAGUUUGCCCAAAAAUAAAGCAGUAUUGAAAUAAUUCAUAUAUUGGAUUUUUCUCUGAGUGGUUUUAGUAUUCAGAAAUGAAUAUAUUUUCCUUAAUUUCAAGGUCACCUCAUCAAAAAUUGGGACAUUAUAAGGACCAUGUCGUGUGUCAAGCCCUAAAAUAUGCAGCAUUUCAUGUUCAACAAAUUUCUGUUAGAGAUCGUUUAAUCUUUCUAGAUCUACAAAUAUAUAUGAUAUGGAUAUAGAUCAUGGAAAAUAAUUAAUUUGAUUAUUUUUACCAUAACCUAUUAUUACAAGAGAAUUCUACAGAAAGUUGGAGAAAUUAUUUCUAUAAUCAAAAAAUGAUUUUCACUUUUUAGUGUCCUAAAUAUUAUAGAAAUCCUAUAUAGUACCAAAUAUAUUAGAAAUUAUGAAAGACUAGCUAACAAAUUUUACAAGAUUUUCAAAAUAGCACACCGGCCAACCAUUAGAUAAAGAUGGAAUCCAUCAACCAAAACAUGGACGUCGUGAUCCUGCACAAACAAUCCCAGCCAAAUUGUUACAAAUAAUAUAGAUAUAUGAAUAUGACCCAUGUUUAGAGUACUGAGAAAAAGCAAAUGACAACAAAUAAUGUAAAACUCUCGAUAGUUAGUGAGGCUGCUAAUGUCACUAGCUCCAAUCAAUUCAUAUAUACAUACCAAGUAUUUCCCUAGGUAUAUCCUAUUGCUAAUCUAUAAAAUCAUGUUUAAGCAUAUAUAAGCUGUUUUAAACAAAAGUAGAGUUCACUACAAAAAAUAAAAACAAUGUAAAAUUCAGUUUUAUUAUACUUCACCUACAAAUAUCGACUAGCAUUCCGACAUUACUAUUUAAAUGUAAGACUAUUAUGUCGAGAAUUAUGACUUGUCUGCGUUAUUUAGAUUAUAUUCUCCUCUCUCUUUUCACAUAAUCUGUUUAUCCUACACAAAUUAUAUUUGUUUUGCUUGAUAUGUUCGAUCUAGCAUUACUCAAUCAGCGACCACAAUACAAAACUGUAUUUUUUAAGGAUUUAAAAAUACAAUGAGUGGCGUGUAUUAAUCAUGUAAUUGGUUAACGUCUUGUGUUUUUUUUAACAGCAAUAAUAAGUUUUAAAAUUUAUCAAAAUAAUGGGGUUUAAAAAAAAUGGACUUCUUCUAUCUAAAAACAAUUUAAGUGACCAUAGUCUAACAUAAAUCCCAAUAGCCCAAUGGCCCAUACAAAUUUUGUACACGAGGGUAAGGUCCUAAAUUCUAAGGGAUAAUGAACUCUAUAAAAUAUUAUAGGGUAAUUCGAAAAAGCUCCAAAUUCUUAAAUCAUGUUUUCCAAAACUACGACAAAAAUUCAAAAUUAUUAAAAAUACCACAAAUUUGUUUGGUGUAUAAGGUUGUUGAAAGUUUAAUAAGGGGGUACCAAGUGAUUUAAGAAUUAUUACUAAAUUUUUGAAACCUUUAUUAAACCUAAAAAUUGUACUGUUUUCGGAUUUAUUUAUAUAUUGUUUUUUUUUAUUAAAGUUUUUAUGGGGUUUAAAGUUAUAUUUUACAAUGUAAAUUUUGUAGGCUAUUUUUAGUUAUUUGUUUUCAAUUCCUAUAUCCUUCCUAAUUUCCAGGCCAGUUCCUAUCUCCAAGAACUAUCACGCCAGUACCUAUUUUCAAGAUUUAGUUCCUAUAUUUUAUGAAACGUUUUACUUUACAUAUAUAUUUUGACAACGUUUUCUAAUCCAUAAUGGAUUAUAGACUAGUCUAACUCUUUAAACAAAAAAAGAAUUGAUGAUCAUUUUUUCAGUAUACGGAACUUCUUAAAAUUUGAAUUAAGUCCAGCAAAUUUAUGUUAGAAAUUUUUUUUUUUUUUUAAUACAAAUUGUCAUAACUCAUAAGUAUAAAUAUUUAAAUCAAAUUUUGUGCAUGACUUUAUUUCUAAAAACUCGAUCUUAAUUAGUCUUGAAACCAAGUAUUAUCGAGGUAGAUGCUCGAUUAGAGUUAGCUCAAAACAAAUACAUAUUCUAAGUUUUUUGGGGUCAACAUACGACAAUUCUUUUAUUAAUCCCCAAUAUAUUAAUAGAGAAACAUUUUUUAAAAAAAAACUUGCGAAGAUAAAGUCAUUUAUUUUGAUUUUUUGGGGUCAACAUAAAAAAAAUUACGUUGAAGGUGCAUUGUGUUUCAAAGACCAUGGAACUUGUUGAUAAUUACCCUCGGUGUGAAGACUCUCUCAAGACGGUUUUAUUACAGGACACAUGUACUGGAUUUUGCUUCUCUCUUCCAAAAAUCUUUUUUUUUGUCAAGAAGGGGAAGAAGAAUGAUCAGCAAUGCUUUGGAAAAAGGAAUUUAAAGUUAGCGUAUAAAUGAAAACAGGCCUUAAAGGAUUUGUUAGUCUCUUCACAAUUCCAUUUAGUAUCAUCAUAUAGUAUUUGGCACAGUGUUAGCAUCUUGUAUAUAAUCCCUCCAUCUUUUAGCAUUUUCAUCAGCUUUAUUAUAAAAGCUUUUUUUCGGUGUGAUCAUUGUUCUUUUAUCUCAUCGAUGAGAAAUCAUAUUAUCUUAAUAUCAUUUGCUCCUACCCUUUCACAGAUUCAUUAGAUCAUGUCCUACUUUGGUUUCUACUCCUCCAGUCAUUUGGAAAAGAAAGGAAAGAUUUAUGAAUGGUGGUAAUUGGUAACACUAACUUUGAUCCAAUAUCUGUUUUGACUUCUUGUUGUGUUUGGUUUAAAGACUCCAAGAUCAAAGUUCAAACACUUCAGGAUUUGGCAUACAUAAAGGACUAAAAAAGAUCACUAGCAUUGUCUUUAUGAAUAACACAGUUGCUUAGUCUAAUACUACUGCCUUUGCUGGAACAAAUUUAUCUAUGUUUUUUAAUUUCGCCAUUAAUGGAAUGCAAGACGACACGUUGUGUGAAUAGAUGGAUGCAAGAGUUUAAGCUAUUCAAUCGCAAUCUCCAUCAAGCAAUCACAUGGUGGUGGUGGUGGUGGUGGUGGUGGUGAUGAUGGUGGCGGUGGCUGCAAAAUUCUUUUGCAUAACUCCUGCAACAGCUUUUACCAUUGUGACGCUUCUCUUUUUCCUUACAUUUCGAUGCACAAGCCUCUGGAAUCUUCACUUUGCAACAGGUCUCUGACUUAACGGCUCUGUUUGAGCUCUCACAUUGCUCAUCCUUCUUCACUUGCAAGUCAGAUAGCACCAGAUCAGUAGAACUAGUGCAACAGCUUUGACUAGACACUUUCACUGUUCCACAGCCUCCGGAUUGAGCACUCUCCACAUUGACCAACUUUGAAGACCCUUCUUGUGUCAAACAAGUUCCACAACAAUGUGAUUUGCAAUCACCACCACCUUCAGUUUCCAAGCCUGAAACCACCAAGCUAACAGGCUUCUCACCACAGAUUUUUGUCACUUCUUUGUCCAUACAACAUCCGAGGAACAAUCCAUGCUGUCUGUCUCUUCCUCUGAAGCCAGAGUGAUUUCCGUUGUUUGCUUUUCAUCGUUGCAGCAACCAGACUUGCAAUGUCCUUCAUCCUUUAUCUCCAGAUCACAAUGCUCCUCCACUUCCCCUUCUGUGUUUCCACAACAAACCAACUUGAGAUCAUCACAACAUACACCAGUUUCCAUGUCCAAACCUUCCUUCUCCACCAACACAGCAUGCUUCUUCUCAUGGAAGCUUUGUUUCACUGUCCCCUCAUUCACACAACAUCCCGAGAAGCAAUCUUGAUCGUCUGUCUCUUCCUCAGAAGCAAGAGUUAUUUCCCCGGUUUGUUUUUCAUCGCUGCAGCAACGAGACUCGCAGUGUCCUUCAAUCUUUAUCUCCAGAUCAGUUUUUCCUGCAACUUCCCCUUCUGUCUUCCCACAACAAACCAACUUGAGAUCACAACUUACACCAGUUUCCAUGUCCAAACCUGCCUUCUCAUGGCACCUUUGUGUCACUGUCCCCUUGUUCUCGCAGCCAGACUUGCAGUUUCCUUCAUCUUUAAUCAGCACUUCUUUCUCCGGGUAAGAUUUGUCCUCACUAGCAAGCAACAAACCUAUUUCCUUAACCUUCUUCUCUUUAUUGUCGCAACAGCUUGUUUUGCAGGGUUCCUUUCUCUGCAACUCUAUUUCCAAACCAGUUAAUGCCUGAGGAAUAAUCUGCACCGGGACAACAAUUUCCUCAGCAUGCUUCUUCUCCUCGCAAUGGCCAGAUUUGCAGUCUCCAGCACUCUCCAUUUGCUGUUUUGGUUUCUCACAGCAGCUCUUUGCCACUACUUCCUCUACCUUCUCACUUUUGUUAGCACAACAACCUGAACCACCUUUCAUUUUCAGGUCAUGUUUGACAUGACUAGACUUCUUACAUGAGCUCAAUGAAACCAUGUCUCCCACUGCUUUUCUAGUUUCCUCACCGCAACAGCCAUCUCUCACAAGUGGCUUCACUUUGUCUUGCUUCUUAUCGCCACAACAACCAGGGUGAGAAUGAUCAGAACUGGUUUUACUACUUGGUUUCAUCAUCACAACCUUCUCUUGAUUUUUCUUAUCUCCACAACAGCUUGAGUUACAUUGACCAUUCCCGCUCUUUGUUAACAAGCCUGCUUCUAAGUCCACAACAUCAUCAUCAUCGCCUUCGAGUUUCCUACCAUUCAACAUAGAUGUUGAAGCCCUGUAACACUUUUUGUUCCCAAUCUUUUUCUUCUCUCGCAGCAGCAACAUACUAUUGAGAAUCACAAGCAAACAAGUCCCUACAUCAACAAGAACCGCUGCCCAAAUCAAAGGAUGACCAGCAAAUGCCAAAGCCAGUAUUCCUGCUUUUAAAAUGAUGGAAAGAAACACGUUUUCAACAACUUUGCGCCGAGCUCUUCUCGCUAGCUUCACCGCUUGUGGUAUCCGUCUUAUGUCAUUAGACAUCAGAAUAAUAUGACCAGUCUGCGUAGCAAGCGCAGAGCCAGAAAUUCCCAUGGAGAUACCAAUAUCAGCUAUAGCUAAAGCUGGUGCAUCAUUCACACCGUCCCCUACCAUUGCGGUUGGUCCUUCUUUCUUAAACUCUUGUAUGAUUUUGGAUUUAUCUUCAGGAAGAAGUUCUCCAUGUACAACAUCUAAAACAUUCCCUAGCUGUUUCAUAAAACAUGUCAAGGUAUUAUUAAAUAACCUCUUGGCUUUAGAGAGUGAUUAAAAUUAUGGUUUUUAGUUUCACUUGUUCUUGAGCAUGCAUUGCCGCAGCUUGACUAUCUCCAGUUAGCAUUGCGGUUUUGAUUCCUAGAGAUUUCAGUUCUGUCAUUGCUUGAGAUACACCGGAUCUACAAGCAUCAGAAAGAUUGAAAACUCCAGCUAGUCUUUCACCUACAUAGACGUAUCCAACAGUGUUUCCACCUUUGGUAUCAACUUCAAUCUCUGGAAGUGUCAAGAAGAAACAGUCAAGUGAUCAGACUAAAGAAUAACAAAACGUCAAAAAACUACAUUAAGUUUUUUUAUUACAAGUACCUGUUGAACAACCAGCUCGAGAAGCAAUCCUUUUAUUCCCGAUGUAGAUAUCGUUCCCUUCAAUCUUCCCGUAGAUUCCUUCACCUGGAAAAUUCUGGUAGUCCUCAACCUCUUCAGGCCUAGGCUCAACAGAAACGGAUUUCGCGUAGUCCACGAUUGUUGCAGCCAUUGGAUGACUUGAUUUGCUUUCAACACUUGAUACCCUGAAACAUUGUAUAACAAGAAAGUUUCAGUCAUAAGUUAUCUCAGCAAACUUGUUUUAGUCAGAACACAAGUUUAGUUUUACCAGUAAAGCAAGCUACGUAGGGUUAUAUCUCUAGAGAGUGACUUGAAAUCUAUGACAAUGAACUCUCCUCUAGUAAUAGUCCCGGUUUUGUCGAAAGCAGCGAUCUUCAUCUUUGAGAGAGUGUCCAGAUAAUCAGCACUUUUGAUCAGAAGCCCGGAAGUUGCUGCUUUAGUAAGUGCACAGAAAGUAGCAACUGGUGUAGAGAGGAUAAGACCACAGGGACAGCCACUGACUAACACAACUAAUGCCAGGUGGAACCAAUGUUUAAGGUUGUGGACCUUCAUAAUAACCGGGACAAUGGCGACGCAAGCUGAUACUACGAUGAUUGCUGAAAUAAAACAAGAAACACAGAGGUCUCAAAUUACGCGAUUCAAGGACAUAAAGAAACCCGGAAAAAUAAGUUUUGUUUAUGUUUUUGCUUACCUGGAGUAUAGUACUGAGAACAUUUGUCUAUUAGUCUUUGGGAUUUGGUUUUACUGCUCUGAGCUUCUUCUACUAACUUAGCCAUCUUCGCAACCACGCAAUCACCCGCUAAAGAAGUUGUUUUCACACUUAUGUAACCUGCAAAACACAGGGAGAUAGAUCAAAAGAGUGAAAGAUAAAACAAAAAGGUAUAAAGCUUGAAGCUCUUAAAAGAGGAUUACAUACCAUUUAGAUUGAUAGUUCCAGCCCAAACCGUAGAAUCUCUCUGUUUAGGUACAGGAAAUGCUUCGCCGGUUAAGGUUUUCUCGUCUACUUCACAGUUUCCAUCCACCACAAUUCCAUCAAUUGGUAUGGUUUCACCAGCUUUAACCGCUACAACUGUGCUAAUCUUAACCUCAUCUACUUCAACUUCUUCACCAGUCUCUGCUAUUAUUGCCUUCUGUGGAGCUAAGCUCAUCAGAGACUGCAUUACCGCUGUUGCCUGAGAUUUGGGGGUUUUCGAUUUUCUUUGAAUCCAAGUGAUUAGCAUCCAAUGUCUUCAUCAUAUAGUUCAGGUAAGUGAUUCUUGUGUUCGUUUUAGUUGUUGUACAUCAAUUUAGAUAAUAUAGAUGAGAAUUUUGAUUUUGAAUUUGUUGAAGGGAUGAAUGGUAGCUUCAAUCGGCGUGGAGCAGAAAGAGGACUACCUAAAAAAUGUAGAUGUGGUGCAGAAUCUGUAAUCAAAACUGCAGAUACAUUGAAGAAUCCAGGGAGACUUUUUCAUUGUUGUCCAUAUGGGUCAAAAGAGGUAUUGUUGGUUUUGAUUUAUCAUUUAAAUAGAAGAAAAUGAUGUAUAAACAUAAUUUUGUUGUAGGAUAAUGGACAUUUGUUCAAAUGGACCGAUAUAGCUAUGGUUGAAGAGAUGAAAGAGGUUGAGGGAGUUGUUGAGAAGAUACAAGCUGAGAUGGAGAGUCUAGCAUGUGAAACACGCACAUGUGAGGCCGUUGCAAGUAGCUAUGAAAAGGAGAUUGAAGCUAUUAAAGCACUUGCAAAAGGAUGUGAGAAAGAGAUUGGAGAGCUCAAAGCUAUGAUCGUUUGCAGUGAGAAAGAGAUCCAAUCUCUACGUUGUUUCAAAAAUAUCAUUGUAUGUAGUGUAGUCUUGUUUGUGGUGUAUGUUUUCAUCUUUUAAGUGUUUGUAUGAGGAAUGACUUUGUUAAGUUAAGAGAAAUUUGUUAGUUUGAAUUGAUUUUGAUUGAGUUUUAGUUUCAGUUUGAAUCGAUUUUGAUUGAGUUUCAGUCUCAAUUUGUAGAGAUAUCGACACACAAAAUUGCAGGUUUAAUCUCUUUGAUUUGCAGGACAUUAGGACCAAGUCUCAUUAGCUAAAAAUAAAUCAAAAUGCAGGUUUUGAUCAUCCUAAAACAACAAAUCCGAGGCAGUUUAACAAACAACAAAAACCAUCAUCCUAAAACAAAACAAUCCAAAAACCAUCAUCCUAAAUUUUGAAUCAUAAUAGUUUAGCAAACCAGACAAUUACACAAUUAAUCAUUAAGUGAACUUUGAGAUGCUUGACUUGCUUGGCUUGGACCUUCUUCUUGUCUUUUAGAUGCUCUUUUGCUUAGGACCCCAACAUUUGGACACCUCCUAGUGUUAUGUCCUGAAAUGCUACAUCGAGCACAAUGCAAAGUCAUACCUUCUCUAGUUAUUUUCAUUUUCUUUUGAGGAGGAUCUUCAAUUUCUUUUUCAGCUUCCUUUCCUUUCUUCUUUUUCUUUUUUCUCUACCAUUCACUUCAUUGUCUUCUUCACCAACUCUAGCAGUCACAUCAUUCACAUCAUUACCUUCUUCAGGAGACUCAUCAUUUUCCAAGAAUAUAUCAACAGCUUUUGUCUACUUCGCAGCUAAACACAUUCUCUGGAAAUUUUCAGCUUCAACAUACAACAACUUUAACUCUUGAAAAGUCUCAUAAGGUAGCUUAAACCAGAUCCUUUGCCCAAUUAGAGAUAACCCCAAUGACCCAGUCAUGUUAGUAAAAACAGCUUCCGGAUUACAUUCAAGCAUGUGAAUCUCGCCUCCAACAUAUGUAAGAACAUUUCCGGCUGAAACUACAAACUUUCCAUUGUAGUAGAUCUGGAAAGUCGUAUCUUCAGAGCUGAAAAACGAAAAAAAGAGGAUUAUAAGAAAUUAGCAUUCUAUCGAACACUUGGUGUUCAAUAAAAAAAAUUCUAUUGUGGCUCAAAAUCGAGACAAUUCAGAUACAAUAAACUAACAAAAACUAUGCAGAGACACAAAUUAUCCAUAAUUAUCUACUUAGCAACUCAAGGAAUCGAUGUGAAAACAUCCGAAAUUGAUUUCAAAAAACCCAGAUAUAAGUGAAAUUACCUCGACGGAUCGCUCUCUUGGCCUUCCUCAUUGGUAAUCAUUGCUAGUAACGUUGGAUUCGAAGCCACCUUGAGACGGAAUCCACGAGAAUCGAAAACCCCCAAAUCACUUAGGGUUUAUCACUCACAGUUCUAGAAUCGAGAAUGAGAAAGAAGAUGAAGUGAAUACAAUGUCCAAAACGACGUCGUUUUGUGUUUUACUUUGGCAUCUCAAUUCAAUCCAAAACGACGUCGUUUUGGAACUCUCUGCACACGUGGACUCCCCGUCAGCAUGACUUCACGGUUCGUUAACAGUGUUAGGCGUUUUGCACGUUUUUGUAUUAUUUAGCACAAAAAGUUGAGUGUAGGUUUGGAAUUCAAAUUUAGUACAAGUUGGGGUAUGUUAUAGCACAAGCAAUAGAUAAAUGUAUGAAUUCAACACAGUUAUUAUGUGGGGGUAUGAAAAAGCCGACUUUUCCGUAAGCCAUAUAUAGGAUCAUAGAGAUCAUCUACGAGUUGAAUUAUCAAUAUGUGAAAUUGAAUAAUAUUUCCUUUUUUAUAUAUAUUAUAUAUUUCCGUUUCUUAUUUACCUUAGAGUUUCAAAAUUCUAUUUGUUAAAUUCAAACAAGAAUGCGCUCUUGAAAAUGCAUCAUAAAGUAGUACUGACUCUUAUCUUUUACAAACUUGACGAUAAAGAAAAAAUAUUACAUUGCAUAUUAUUUUAAAUUUUGUAUGAUUAAUUUGUAUUUUUUGGAGGUGGAGAAUAAAUUUAUAAAAAUUAGUGGGUUGGGGGUUUUUUUUUUGCACAAAAUCCUAUGAUAUACUAAGUUUGCCCAAAAAUAAAGCAGUGUUGAAAUAAUUCAUAUAUUGGAUUUUUCUUUGAGUGGUGUUAGUAUUCAGAAAUGAAUAUCUUUUCCUUAAUUUCAACGUCACCUCAUCAAAAUGAGGACAUUAUAAGAACCAUGUCGCGUGUCAAGCCCUAAAAUAUGCUGGUGGAUAUAGAGCAUGGAAAAUAAUUAAUUUGAUUAUUUCUGUUAGAGAUCGUUUAAUCUUUCUAGUUCUACAAAUAUAUAUGAUGGUGGAUAUAGAGCAUGGAAAAUAAUUAAUUUGAUUAUUUUUACCAUAACCUAUUACAAGAGAAUUCUACGAGAAAGUUGGAGAAACUAUUUCUAUAAUCAAAAUAUGAUUUUUACUUUUUUAGUGUCCUAUAUUAGAAAUCCUAUAUAGUACGAAAUAUAGUAGAAAUUAUGAAAGACUAGCUAACAAAUUUUACAAGAUUUUCAAAAUGCCAACCAUUAGAUAAAGAUGGAAUCCAUUAACCAAAACAUGGACGUCGUGAUCCUGCACAAACAAUCCCAGCCAAAUCAUACAUAUAAAAUUAAGGUUUAACUCUCUUCUUAUUGGUCCAUUUGGCAAUGUAACUUAAAAAUUUUUAUUUUUAAAUAAAUUAUAAAUAACACACAUUUAACUCACACUUUAAUAUACAAACUGAAAUCAUUAAAAAUUAUACAUUAACUAUAUUUUCCACUCAAUUUUAUUCAAUACACAAUAAAUUAGAAUUGUAACUCCCAUAAUUUAUUUUUUUAAAUGUAACUUAACUCACUUCUUAUCCUAUAAAUAUACAUUUCUCCUUCUCUCAUCCUCUAAUCCUCUCACCUUCUUCCAUCAUAUCUCAAAUCUUAAAUAAUUUUUUGUUUUGUGUUCUUACAUUAGUUUUUUUUUUUUUUUUUUUUUUUGAAAGAUGCAUCUUCAUUGUCUAUUUUAGAUAAUCAUUCUCUCAUCUUCUUCUACUAUAUUUAUGUGCCUAUUUUUAUAUUUUUAUAUGGAUUAAAAAUCAAGAAAUUGAUUCUAUAUAUAUUUAUUUUAGAAAGUAUUAUAUAUAUCCAAUAUUGUAUUUAUUUUUGUAUAUUUUUCAAAAGCCAUACUAAAUAUACUUAUUUAUUCUUUAAUUUUCAUUUUUUUGGGGUUAAUUUCAUAUAUGUAUACUAAAAGUUUUGAUGGAUAUAAUAAAAUUGUCAGAUUUAUUGUUGAUGGAGAGUUAAAUAUAUCAAUUCCAAUCAUAGCACAACAAUGAAGUUGAAAAUAUCCAUUUCCAUUAUCUACUUUAGAUAUUUGAUUUUUUUCUAAUAUAUUCAUAUAAUUUUUUUUAAUUAUGCAAUAUUUAAUGAAAUAAAUUAUUGUACUACAUUUAAUAAAUAUAUAUUUCUCACCUUUUUCUUAUCUGGAAUAAAUUUUGUAAUUUAUUUUUAAUAUAUGUAUCAUUAUAUUUACUUUUUGUGAUCCGAUAGAUAAUUAUAUAAAAAUCGCUAUACUGUUUAUUUUAUUUAAAAUUUGAGGUUUAAGUAUUUUUCAAUUAAAAAGAAUUUUGUUAAAACAAAUUUGGUAUUUAAGAUUAAAAAAAAUGAAAUCAUAUGGUUCAAGAAAAUUAAAUUUAGGUAGAAUAGAAAAUUAGAAUGAAACCUAACACUCACACUUAAA